CUUUGAAAUCGGGUAUUUCAAAAACAAUUUAUUAAAAUAACUUCAUUUUAAAAUUAAUAUAAAGUUAAUAAUUCUAGCUUUUGAGAAAAGUAUCAAUCAAAACUAAAAUUGCCCCUCCCGCCAAAACGGGGGGACAUAGACCCCCCUCCCAUAGAAACGGAUAUUUUCGGAUCAAGGUCUCGGAACAAGUUUUGGUUCACAGAUAUGAGUUCACAAUGAGCAGGCCUAUACAUUUGGUUGCAUCUAAAAUGGAUCAGCGUAUUGGUGAUCAUCGUCUUCAUCCUCAUCAUCAUCAUCGUCAUCAUCAUCAUCAUUAUUAUUAUCAUUUUCUAAUAUUCCUCCUUCAU
This is a long non-coding RNA of Episyrphus balteatus (marmalade hoverfly), 347 nucleotides long. RefSeq lists it as uncharacterized. The transcript has 3 exons. The record is from RefSeq and is a predicted model, not a curated record. NCBI's taxonomy places the organism in Eukaryota, Metazoa, Arthropoda, Insecta, Diptera, Syrphidae.